Molecule: unclassified non-coding RNA, 200 nt
Filed under: Lecanoromycetes sp.
Lineage: Eukaryota; Fungi; Ascomycota; Lecanoromycetes
Description: partial internal transcribed spacer 2
Source: RNAcentral
UUAAGUUCAGCGGGUAUUCCUACCUGAUCCGAGGUCAACCAUUGAAAAAUAGAUGUUGUCCGGCUGGAACGCCCGGGUGGCUCGACGCGGGAGUAUUACUACGCUCGAUCACCGGCCGCACCGCCGCUGCUUUCCAGGCACGCCCCGGGGGACGGCACCCAAUACCAAGCCAGGCUUGAGGGUUAUAAUGACGCUCGAAC